Long non-coding RNA from Bos taurus (domestic cattle), 1288 nucleotides. Lineage: Eukaryota; Metazoa; Chordata; Mammalia; Artiodactyla; Bovidae. The record is from Ensembl.
GGCGGGGCUUACGGAGCGGUCCUCUGGUGACGCGGCCGGCCCUUGGGUCGGUCAUGAUCCUGGGUCCUGAGAGCUGGGUGGGGCCGUCAUGAAGGGUUACCUGGCUGUAGGGCGCGUGCUCCCCGAGGACGUGGGCCGUGCUUCUUCCAGGAGGGCUGGCCCCGGGCCUGCUUAGGGGAGAUGGGCCGGCGGGGACUUGCUCUUGCGGCCCCGGCGUGGUUGGUGUAGAGCAGAGGGGGAGGCCGUUCCCCCGCGGGGCGCUUUUGUAAGAGAGUCUCAGGUCUGGACUCCCCCGUGCGUGUCGCCCGCUCAGGCCCGGCCCGUGAGAAGUGCGGCCCAGGGUGGAAGGACCGGCUGCUCCUGGGCUGGGCGCCGGGAAGCCGAAGCCGGCCGGAACUACGGCGGGGAGGCGUGUGGGAGAGGCUCCGGCCUCCGCCUCCCAGGCUCCAGAGCAGCGCGGCCGACAGACGCGGGCAGGGGAGGGCCUCGAGGCGGAGCGCUGUGGGGUCCACGUGUCAGAGAAGCCCUUAGUGCUCUGGGAGGACGGGCCUCGGAGCGCCGCGGGCAGGGGGGCUGUUCACCACGCGUCCCCCUCGGACAGAACAGCAGGUGUGAGGAAGCCCACGGCAGCCACACCAGGGGCAGGUGUGAGUGCAGUAGCUCCUGCCUCGUUUCGACACCAGAGAAGCCAGGCUGGAGAAGAGCCUUCUGAGCGCACACCGUGGGAAGAAUGCGUUCAGAGAAGGAUACACGCUUUUUUGCCAACAAAAGCUUCAUAGCAGAAAGGCCUGAUGAAUGCAGUAACUAUCAGAGAAUCUUCAGUCGUAUGUCUAAGUUCAUUCAGCAGCAGGAAGUGUAUACCAGAGAAAGCCUCUUUGAGUUCACGGAAUGAAAGCUUUCUGCCAAAGUUGAGCCCCAAUUUACGCUGAAAAGUUCACAGCCCGAAAAAGCGCUCGGAGUGCAGCAAACGUGGGAAAGCCUCCUGCCCAAACGUCCAACUUGUGCUGCACAAAAGCCUGGGCCCCCUCGCUGCCCUCCCUGUGUGUCGUGUGUCUGCAUUCUGCACGGACCAAACCUCCCUGUGGGCAGGAACUCCCGCUCAAGCAAAAAGAGCAGCCUUCUCCCAGAUCAACAAGACGACUCCUUAAAAGGUAGCAUUCCCUCCUGAUCUGAAGGGGUCACACGACCACUGGGGUGACACCUAGAUCUGGACCAUGUGAGCUGUCAGUAGUCAGUCAUUCGAUGUAUAGCCCGCUGUCUCAAGCUGAGUCUUGAUUUCUAAUCCACC